Molecule: ribosomal RNA, 465 nt
Filed under: uncultured bacterium
Lineage: Bacteria
Description: partial 16S ribosomal RNA
Rfam family: Bacterial small subunit ribosomal RNA
Source: RNAcentral
GACGAACGCUGGCGGCGUGCUUAACACAUGCAAGUCGUACGGUAAGGCCCUUUCGGGGGUACACGAGUGGCGAACGGGUGAGUAACACGUGAGUAACCUGCCCACAACUUUGGGAUAAGGCUAGGAAACUGGUGCUAAUACUGGAUAUGUACUCCUGCUGCAUGGUGGGGGUUGGAAAGCUCCGGCGGUUGUGGAUGGACUCGCGGCCUAUCAGCUUGUUGGUGGGGUAGUGGCCUACCAAGGCGGCGACGGGUAGCCGGCCUGAGAGGGUGACCGGCCACAUUGGGACUGAGAUACGGCCCAGACUCCUACGGGAGGCAGCAGUGGGGAAUAUUGCACAAUGGGCGCAAGCCUGAUGCAGCAACGCCGCGUGCGGGAUGACGGCCUUCGGGUUGUAAACCGCUUUCAGCAGGGACGAAGCUUUUUGUGACGGUACCUGCAGAAGAAGCACCGGCUAACUACGUG